AUCUGAUAACGGUAAAGAAAUAUAAAGGCAAUGAAACGUGUCUGAGGACCUCUCCAGAGAAGAUGCAUUGGGCUCUGGAAACCUGCUGCGGUCAAAGAAGAGUCACCGUCCUUUAAGUGCCAAGAAGAGCCCUUCCACCCUCUGGUGCAAGAAGACUUUGAACAAGAAUUGGAAGCUAAAGCUACCAAAGAAGUUGAAAGAAAACUAAGCAGGGCUUUCCUGCCUCAUUUAUGUGGAACUGAGAGAAGGGAUUUAGUGCAAGAAGAGGAAGAACAGUUGAUGGAAGAAAGGAAAAAGAGAAAAGAAGACAAGAAGAAGAAGGAAGCUGCUCAAAAAAAGGUAUGUUGAACACUAAAAAAUACAAACCUGUGCUUAUGGGUUACUUUUGUUUCAUCACUAGUAACUCUGGUUUAGCUGU
RNAcentral lists this long non-coding RNA (418 nucleotides) under Athene cunicularia (burrowing owl). RNAcentral's name for it is "lncRNA (ENSACUG00000002198.1)". The record is from RNAcentral. Lineage: Eukaryota; Metazoa; Chordata; Aves; Strigiformes; Strigidae.